AUGGACAUCGUAUGGCCGCCGCAGCUAGGAUCGUUUAUAUUGACUAAGUUGACAAAGCCCUGCAUCCGCGUCAACUUAGUAGGCCCACAAGUCAGCCUCCAAAUAUGGUGGGACCGACCUAGCAGCAGGGGUAUUUAUUAUUUUUGUGCGUAA
Molecule: ribosomal RNA, 153 nt
Filed under: Triticum aestivum (bread wheat)
Lineage: Eukaryota; Viridiplantae; Streptophyta; Magnoliopsida; Poales; Poaceae
Description: partial small subunit ribosomal RNA
Source: RNAcentral